This 421-nucleotide ribosomal RNA is filed under the name uncultured bacterium. RNAcentral describes it as "partial 16S ribosomal RNA". It matches the Rfam family "Bacterial small subunit ribosomal RNA", at positions 360 to 773 of the family's 1533-position model. The record is from RNAcentral.
AAUAUUUGACAAUGGGGGCAACCCUGAUCCAGCCAUGCCGCGUGUGUGAAGAAGGNCCNNGGAUUNUNAAGCCCUUUAAGUAGNNNNNAAGGGCUUUAGGCUAAUACCCUGAAGGUUUGACGUUCCCAACAGAAUAACCACCGGCUAACUCUGUGCCCGCAGCCGCGGUAAUACAGAGGGUGCAAGCGUUAAUCGGAAUUACUGGGCGUAAAGCGCGCGUAGGUGGUUCAGUAAGAUGGGUGUGAAAUCCCCGGGCUUAACCUGGGAACUGCUUUCAUAACUGCUGAGCUAGAGUACGGUAGAGGGUAGUGGAAUUUCCUGUGUAGCGGUGAAAUGCGUAGAUAUAGGAAGGAACACCAGUGGCGAAGGCGACUACCCGGACUGAUACUGACACUGAGGUGCGAAAGCGUGGGGAGCAAAC